GUUAGUAAUGUUCAACCCAGGGGAAUAAGCAUAGCUACUUGAAAUAUUUCUCAAAUUUCACUCGUGAUGAGAACUAACGCAGAAAACGUUACAGAUCAUACUGGACUUGGAAGGAUCAAGUGUUAACAGUUUCAUGGCUAAAUGAUGAAACAUUAAUGAGGAGACUGGAUUCUUCAAGGUGAUUACUGUAAAAGUAAAAUCAUGGCCCUUGGGGAAAGAUACCAGUGACAUGCCCAUGGUCUAAUAGCUGCCGGGUUUCACUGCCACACGUCUCCUCCAGCACCUAUGAGAAAGAAGACAUGGGUUCCUCAGAAGAAGCACAGACAAGGCUGCCUCCUGCAACCCCCAGCUGCUCAGCUCCAUUAAGUUGAAUCCGUAAUGAAUCUAGAAAUUUUUCAAGCAUGCAUGACAUUCCAUUGAACAACUGCGUCAACAAAACCUCCAGAGCUGAAGAUAUUAAAGCAUUUGAAGACAGCCAAAAGCUUGGACCUCUGUCAGAUGCUUUGGAAGUGCCAAACAGGUCAAAGAGCUGAAAAUUGAAAGCAGUACAAACUCAGCCAUCUUUUCAGGUUUCAAAACAGCCAAGCAAACAGCUGAGAUGAAGAACAAGGAAAACAUGAGUGCAAAGAGGACAACUAGCAUGGUCAAAUCUGAAUUUCACUAAAUGUGAAAUACAGACUAGCACUUCA
Long non-coding RNA from Stegostoma tigrinum, 689 nucleotides. RefSeq lists it as uncharacterized. The transcript has 3 exons. Lineage: Eukaryota; Metazoa; Chordata; Chondrichthyes; Orectolobiformes; Stegostomatidae. The record is from RefSeq and is a predicted model, not a curated record.